CGUCUUUCUCCUAGAUGAUCUUUUCAAGGAUGUUUAUAUAGCAAAUUGCCUUGGCAGUUAGAGAAAGUGUCUCUUUCUGGUGCAAAGGGCACAUUUGCUUACAAUCUAGAAAGAUGCAGGAUAUCCUUUCCAGAGCGAUGAACAGAUAUGCUUACUGCCCAGUAUAAGAGGUCUGGUUCCCUAAAAAUGCAAUUUCUUUCCUGCAGUCAACUGUGUGUCCACAUAUCAGUUGACCCUCUUUGUAUCAUCCUGUGGAAAUUGAGGUUUGGAGAACUAGUGUAAAAAGAACCAUUCUCUGGCUACUGCUAUUGCUUUGAGUAAUAAACUUUGCUUUGUUUUUGACUCAAGGGUUUCAUGUCUCUUGUCAGCAUCCAUGAAACUGUGGCCAAUGAACAGACUGACUUGCUAACAGUAAAGAUCUCAAACUCUUCAUAGUUCUUGACAACAUUCGGUGUGAUGUCACGAUAUUACAGGUUUUUGAUUUCUUAGGACUGUGUCCUAUAACAUUACACUCCAUCAGAGAAGCAUCACAUCUCCCAAAUCUCCUGUCCUCUCUGCGUUCCUGUUUUCUUCCCAGCCCCAGCUCACACCUCCCAUCAUCUGCGGACGACAGGUCCCCGUUCACAUGUUGGUGAAUGCGGUCUCUCAGGGUGUUUGUCACUGUCAUGUUCUGAUUGUUUGUCUACAGUGCUCAGACUUUGUUCCAUCUCUGGCACACAGACAUUGAAAUGAAACGGAAAAAGAUCCCAUUCACUAAUGCUUUAACAACUGAAAGGCCCACCCACAAGCUUCACGUCUUUUCUCUCAAAUCUCUUCCUUCAGGUAUGGAUCAUCCUUUGUGGUUGAUGUUUAGAGAUGUGAUAUGAAACUGAAGACAAACGGUCCAAUAUGUACCUGAAAUCUUUCUAAUGCAAUAUUUAUUAACUUUUUUCAUAACUAAAAUAUUUUGCUAUUUAUUUAAUCUCUCUCUUACAGAAUGUGCUAUAUUCUAUUAACAGGAAUUUUAAG
Molecule: long non-coding RNA, 1008 nt
Filed under: Bos indicus x Bos taurus (hybrid cattle)
Lineage: Eukaryota; Metazoa; Chordata; Mammalia; Artiodactyla; Bovidae
Description: lncRNA (ENSBIXG00000003840.1)
Source: RNAcentral